RNAcentral lists this ribosomal RNA (253 nucleotides) under uncultured bacterium. Its description in RNAcentral is "partial 16S ribosomal RNA". It matches the Rfam family "Bacterial small subunit ribosomal RNA", at positions 524 to 776 of the family's 1533-position model. The record is from RNAcentral.
UACGGGGGGGGCAAGCGUUGUUCGGAAUCACUGGGCGUAAAGAGCGUGUAGGCGGCUCGGUAAGUCCGCUGUGAAAGUCCAGGGCUCAACCCUGGAAUGCCGGUGGAUACUGUCGAGCUCGAGUCCGGAAGAGGCGAGUGGAAUUCCUGGUGUAGCGGUGAAAUGCGCAGAUAUCAGGAAGAACACCCGUGGCGAAGGCGGCUCUCUGGGACGGUACUGACGCUGAGACGCGAAAGCGUGGGGAGCGAACAGG